ACUGCAAGUCGUGCCGAAUGUGAUCUCGAUGAGCUUGCUCUCAAGAAGUUAGCGGCGGACGGGUGAGUAACACGUGGGUAACCUGCCCAUAAGACUGGGAUAACUCCGGGAAACCGGGGCUAAUACCGGAUAACAUUUUGAACUGCAUGGUUCGAAAUUGAAAGGCGGCUUCGGCUGUCACUUAUGGAUGGACCCGCGUCGCAUUAGCUAGUUGGUGAGGUAACGGCUCACCAAGGCAACGAUGCGUAGCCGACCUGAGAGGGUGAUCGGCCACACUGGGACUGAGACACGGCCCACACUCCUACGGGAGGCAGCAGUAGGGAAUCUUCCGCAAUGGACGAAAGUCUGACGGAACAACGCCGCGUGAGUGAUGAAGGCUUUCGGGUCGUAAAACUCUG
RNAcentral lists this ribosomal RNA (398 nucleotides) under Bacillus toyonensis. Its description in RNAcentral is "bacterial SSU rRNA". It matches the Rfam family "Bacterial small subunit ribosomal RNA", at positions 53 to 435 of the family's 1533-position model. The record is from RNAcentral. Lineage: Bacteria; Bacillati; Bacillota; Bacilli; Caryophanales; Bacillaceae.